This is a non-coding RNA of Oryza sativa Japonica Group (Japanese rice), 1043 nucleotides long. NCBI's taxonomy places the organism in Eukaryota, Viridiplantae, Streptophyta, Magnoliopsida, Poales, Poaceae. The record is from RefSeq and is a predicted model, not a curated record.
AGGAUUUUUGUUCAAAAACUGUCUCCAACAAACUCUCUAGCGAAGCUCCCAAUGGAUGAAAAUCCCAAACCCGGAUUGUUCAGUCUCCACUUCUGGGGAUGAGGUCCCGCUCCCAAUCCAUCGCACUUCGCUCCUUCGCGUGCGGAAGACGAAAUGUUCCCACAUAGCUUCCUUUCGCCCUCAUACGCCGCCGGUUCUGUUUCACCAUCGGCGUCGUCUUCCCCAUGCUUCCCUAGCGUCGGUUUUCUUCCCAUUCCCGGUGACGGCGCAUGGUAUGGCGGCAGCAACACUUUCCAUCGAAGCCUGGUGGAGGACAGUUGUCGCCGCUCCCCCAAGCACCAGCGAUGCCUCAAUUCUGGGCGUCGGCGUGAACCGCCCGGUGCCGUCCAUGGCCUAUCUCCCGAGCACUAGAUCCCAUCGACUAUGAAGCUCCCAACAUCGAUUAACUUGUUGAUGGUUGCUACUUGCUGCCCGAACAUGGUAAGUAUGGAUGCUUCUUGCCAGAUUUGUUGCUGGUGCCUGCUUGCUGAUUCUUCGUACUGCUGGAAUUGGUUGUUGCUUCCUACUAGAACUGUUGUUGCCUGCUGAACUCAAGUUGGUGUUGCUGAUAUGAUUGUGUGACAAUUGCAGCUGCCUGAACUGGAUAUAAAUUUGGAAAUAAAAGGAUUUUCAGUCAUGAAAUUUCUGCACAUAGCAGCAUUUCUUUUCCUUUGAUAUACUUAGUAGUUUGCAGCAGUUGAACCCUGAUAUGGCAAGUGCACAGCUUAUAUGCUGCUGGAAUUGCUACUGGAGCUGUUGCUUGUUACUGCUGCUUCUGUUUGAUGCUGAAAACUAAAAAUUGCUGGAACUGUUGCUACUACAAAUUGUUGUUGCUGGAAAGGCUGCUGCUGAAAACUGAAAAUUGUUGCAAGUAGCAAUAGUUCAUCGUAGUUUGUAUAGUUUACCAAGUUCAUGCACUCUGUUGCCCACAAUUAUUGUUGGAUGGGAAAAAAAAGGAGAUUUCAAGUUUAGUAAAAUUCAGCUUCAGAAUCAAGAUUCAGACU